UACGGGGGGAGCAAGCGUUGUUCGGAUUUACUGGGCGUAAAGGGCGCGUAGGCGGCCACCGCAAGUCGACUGUGAAAUCUCCGGGCUUAACCCGGAAAGGUCAGCCGAUACUGCGGGGCUAGAGUGCAGAAGGGGCAACUGGAAUUCUCGGUGUAGCGGUGAAAUGCGUAGAUAUCGAGAGGAACACCUGCGGCGAAAGGCGGGUUGCUGGGCUGACACGUGACGCUGAGGCGCGAAAGCUAGGGGAGCGAACGGG
RNAcentral lists this ribosomal RNA (256 nucleotides) under uncultured bacterium. RNAcentral describes it as "partial 16S ribosomal RNA". It matches the Rfam family "Bacterial small subunit ribosomal RNA", at positions 524 to 776 of the family's 1533-position model. The record is from RNAcentral.